UACAGAGGGUGCAAGCGUUGUUCGGAAUUAUUGGGCGUAAAGGGAGUGUAGGCGGUUUGUAAAGUCUUCUGUGAAAUCUACGGGCUUAGCCUGUAACGUGCAGAGGAAACUGACAGGCUUGAGUGUCGGAGAGGAUAGGGGAAUUCCCGGUGUAGAGGUGAAAUUCGUAGAGAUCGGGAGGAACACCAGUGGCGAAGGCGCCUAUCUGGCUGACAACUGACGCUGAGACUCGAAAGCAUGGGGAGCAAACAGG
RNAcentral lists this ribosomal RNA (253 nucleotides) under uncultured bacterium. RNAcentral's name for it is "partial 16S ribosomal RNA". It matches the Rfam family "Bacterial small subunit ribosomal RNA", at positions 524 to 776 of the family's 1533-position model. The record is from RNAcentral.